This 603-nucleotide long non-coding RNA is filed under the name Homo sapiens (human). RNAcentral describes it as "HSALNT0040484". The record is from RNAcentral. Lineage: Eukaryota; Metazoa; Chordata; Mammalia; Primates; Hominidae.
AAGGGGAGUUUCCCUGUACAAGUUCCCUUCACUUAUCUGCCACUGUGUGAGAGGUGCCUUUCAUUUUCCACCAUGAUUGUGAUGCCUCCCCAGCCACGUGGAACUCUACCUUGCAUCAGCUACAAAUCCCAUCACCUCCUUGGCUGAAGCUGAAAAGCAACUGGAAUGUGGGAAACUGCCAUAAGAUCUGGAUCUUCCCAUCACCGAAGUGAGCAGUUGAGGUUUGACACUCAGUGCUGCAGCUGCCAUAUUGCAACCAUGGGAGCAAAAUCGACGUGCUCAAGAUGACAGAGCAGAAAUAGAAAAGGAGUCUCAUUCCCUAAACAGCUGAACAGCCAUGAACUGCCUACCUCCCAGACCAGAGGACAUGAGAAAAAUGAAUUCCUAUUUUAUUAAACUACUGUAAUGGGAUUUCUGCUAUAUAGAGCUAAAAGUAAUCUCUAACUGACAUAUCAGCUUAUAAACUGUCCCAAAUGUAAGAAAUAUGUUCUUAUUAUUAAAUUCCCGGUUGGCGGGGGGGGAGGGUGGAUCAAAGUCAAAAAAAUUAAAUAUACAUUGUUUUGUAAGUAUAAGGCAAAAUAAUACAGUAAAAAUAUUAUCCUA